GAUGAACGCUGGCGGCGUGCUUAACACAUGCAAGUCGAACGGAAAGGCUCCUGCUUGCCGGGGUACUCGAGUGGCGAACGGGUGAGUAACACGUGGGUGAUCUGCCCUGCACUUCGGGAUAAGCCUGGGAAACUGGGUCUAAUACCGGAUAGGACCACAUUUUGGAUGGUGUGGUGGAAAGUUUUUCGGUGUGGGAUGAGCUCGCGGCCUAUCAGCUUGUUGGUGGGGUAAUGGCCUACCAAGGCGUCGACGGGUAGCCGGCCUGAGAGGGUGUACGGCCACAUUGGGACUGAGAUACGGCCCAGACUCCUACGGGAGGCAGCAGUGGGGAAUAUUGCACAAUGGGCGCAAGCCUGAUGCAGCGACGCCGCGUGGGGGAUGACGGCCUUCGGGUUGUAAACUCCUUUCGCUAGGGACGAAGCGCAAGUGACGGUACCUGGAGAAGAAGCACCAGCUAACUACGUG
Molecule: ribosomal RNA, 465 nt
Filed under: uncultured bacterium
Lineage: Bacteria
Description: partial 16S ribosomal RNA
Rfam family: Bacterial small subunit ribosomal RNA
Source: RNAcentral